RNAcentral lists this small RNA (106 nucleotides) under Marmota monax (woodchuck). Lineage: Eukaryota; Metazoa; Chordata; Mammalia; Rodentia; Sciuridae. The record is from RNAcentral.
GCUAGGUACAGUGGGGGCAUGCCUGUAAUCCCAGAGACUGGGAGGCUGAGGCAGGAGGAUCACAAGUUCUGGCUAGCCUGGGCAAAUUAGUGAGGCCCUGUCUCAA